AUAGUCAUAUGCUUGUCUCAAAGAUUAAGCCAUGCAUGUCUAAGUAUAAGCAACUAUACGGUGAAACUGCGAAUGGCUCAUUAAAUCAGUUAUCGUUUAUUUGAUAGUACCUUACUACAUGGAUAACCGUGGUAAUUCUAGAGCUAAUACAUGCUAAAAACCUCGACUUCGGAAGGGGUGUAUUUAUUAGAUAAAAAACCAAUGCCUUCGGGGCUCCUUGGUGAAUCAUAAUAACUUAACGAAUCGCAUGCCUUCGCCGGCGAUGGUUCAUUCAAAUUUCUGCCCUAUCAACUUUCGAUGGUAGGAUAGUGCCUACCAUUAUCAACGGGUAACGGGGAAUGGGGCGGGGGCGGCGGGCCGGGCGCGGGGCGCGGCGGGCCCCCCCCCCCCCCCCCCGGGGGCGGGCGGGGGGCCCCCCCCCCCGCCGAGGGGGGGGGCGGGUCCACCCCGCCCCGCCCGCGGCCCCCGUUAUGUUCCGCGCCCGCGCGCGUGUGUCUUUAUCUCCCCUCCCCCCCCGCGUGGGUGUUUUUUUUCUUCCCGUACCCUCUCGUGUGGUUUAUAUCAAUACUAAUACUGUUUUUCGCUCCCCUUUUUUUUUUGUUUUUUGCUUUUUUUUUCUUUAUUUUUUUAUUAAUCAU
RNAcentral lists this ribosomal RNA (638 nucleotides) under ascomycete sp. H16. Its description in RNAcentral is "partial 18S ribosomal RNA". It matches the Rfam family "Eukaryotic small subunit ribosomal RNA", at positions 21 to 376 of the family's 1831-position model. Lineage: Eukaryota; Fungi; Ascomycota. The record is from RNAcentral.